CUUUACUGUAGCUUUGUAUUAGACUUUGAGCAGAUCUGUGUAGGAUAGGUGGGAGGCUUUGAAGAGCGGUCGCUAGAUCGCUUGGAGCCGACGUUGAAAUACCACCCUGGUGUGUUUGAGGUUCUAACCUAGGUCCAUUAUCUGGAUCGGGGACAGUGCAUGGUAGGCAGUUUGACUGGGGCGGUCUCCUCCCAAAGUGUAACGGAGGAGUUCGAAGGUACGCUAGUUACGGUCGGACAUCGUGACGAUAGUGCAAUGGCAUAAGCGUGCUUAACUGCGAGGCUGACAAGCCGAGCAGAUGCGAAAGCAGGACAUAGUGAUCCGGUGGUUCUGUAUGGAAGGGCCAUCGCUCAACGGAUAAAAGGUA
Molecule: ribosomal RNA, 367 nt
Filed under: uncultured organism
Description: bacterial LSU rRNA
Rfam family: Bacterial large subunit ribosomal RNA
Source: RNAcentral